Molecule: ribosomal RNA, 253 nt
Filed under: uncultured bacterium
Lineage: Bacteria
Description: partial 16S ribosomal RNA
Rfam family: Bacterial small subunit ribosomal RNA
Source: RNAcentral
UACGUAGGGGGCGAGCGUUGUCCGGAUUUAUUGAGCGUAAAGAGCGUGUAGGCGGCCAGGUAGGUCUGCUGUGAAAACUCGAGGCUCAACCUCGAGACGUCGGCGGAAACCAUCUGGCUAGAGUCCGGAAGAGGAGAGUGGAAUUCCUGGUGUAGCGGUGAAAUGCGCAGAUAUCAGGAAGAACACCCGUGGCGAAGGCGGCUCUCUGGGACGGUACUGACGCUGAGACGCGAAAGCGUGGGGAGCGAACAGG